UACGUAGGGGGCAAGCGUUAUCCGGAUUUACUGGGUGUAAAGGGGGCGCAGACGGCAAUGCAAGCCAGGAGUGAAAGCCCGGGGCCCAACCCCGGGACUGCUCUUGGAACUGCAUGGCUGGAGUACAGGAGGGGCAGGCGGAAUUCCUAGUGUAGCGGUGAAAUGCAUAGAUAUUAGGAGGAACACCAGUGGCGAAGGCGGUCUGCUGGACAGCAACUGACGCUGAGGCGCGAAAGCGUGGGGAGCAAACAGG
RNAcentral lists this ribosomal RNA (253 nucleotides) under uncultured bacterium. Its description in RNAcentral is "partial 16S ribosomal RNA". It matches the Rfam family "Bacterial small subunit ribosomal RNA", at positions 524 to 776 of the family's 1533-position model. The record is from RNAcentral.